This 345-nucleotide unclassified non-coding RNA is filed under the name soil metagenome. Its description in RNAcentral is "partial contains 5.8S ribosomal RNA, internal transcribed spacer 2, and large subunit ribosomal RNA". The stretch from base 1 to 120 matches the Rfam family "5.8S ribosomal RNA", at positions 35 to 154 of the family's 154-position model. The record is from RNAcentral.
GAUGAAGAACAUAGUGAAAUGCGAUACGUAAUGUGAAUUACAGAAUUCAGUGAAUCAUCGAGUCUUUGAACGCACAUUGCGCCCCCUGGUAUUCCGGGGGGCAUGCCUGUCCGAGCGUCAUUGCUGCCCUCAAGCACGGCUUGUGUGUUGGGCCUCCGUCCUCCUCCCGGGGGACGGGCCCGAAAGGCAGCGGCGGCACCGCGUCCGGUCCUCGAGCGUAUGGGGCUUCGUCACCCGCUCUUGUAGGCCCGGCCGGCGCUUGCCGACACAUCAAUCUUUUUUCCAGGUUGACCUCGGAUCAGGUAGGGAUACCCGCUGAACUUAAGCAUAUCAAUAAGCGGAGGA